RNAcentral lists this ribosomal RNA (524 nucleotides) under Cytobacillus eiseniae. RNAcentral's name for it is "bacterial SSU rRNA". It matches the Rfam family "Bacterial small subunit ribosomal RNA", at positions 51 to 558 of the family's 1533-position model. The record is from RNAcentral. Lineage: Bacteria; Bacillati; Bacillota; Bacilli; Caryophanales; Bacillaceae.
AUACAUGCAAGUCGAGCGAAGUUGUAAAAGCUUGCUUCUAAAAAUUAGCGGCGGACGGGUGAGUAACACGUGGGCAACCUGCCUGUAAGACUGGGAUAACUUCGGGAAACCGGAGCUAAUACCGGAUAAUUCUUUUCCUCUCAUGAGGAAAAGCUGAAAGAUGGUUUCGGCUAUCACUUACAGAUGGGCCCGCGGCGCAUUAGCUAGUUGGUGAGGUAACGGCUCACCAAGGCAACGAUGCGUAGCCGACCUGAGAGGGUGAUCGGCCACACUGGGACUGAGACACGGCCCAGACUCCUACGGGAGGCAGCAGUAGGGAAUCUUCCGCAAUGGACGAAAGUCUGACGGAGCAACGCCGCGUGAGUGAUGAAGGUUUUCGGAUCGUAAAACUCUGUUGUUAGGGAAGAACAAGUACCGGAGUAACUGCCGGUACCUUGACGGUACCUAACCAGAAAGCCACGGCUAACUACGUGCCAGCAGCCGCGGUAAUACGUAGGUGGCAAGCGUUGUCCGGAAUUAUUGGG